Molecule: ribosomal RNA, 409 nt
Filed under: Brevundimonas sp. R-40155
Lineage: Bacteria; Pseudomonadati; Pseudomonadota; Alphaproteobacteria; Caulobacterales; Caulobacteraceae
Description: bacterial SSU rRNA
Rfam family: Bacterial small subunit ribosomal RNA
Source: RNAcentral
GGCUCAGAGCGAACGCUGGCGGCAGGCCUAACACAUGCAAGUCGAACGGACCUUUCGGGGUUAGUGGCGGACGGGUGAGUAACACGUGGGAACGUGCCUUUAGGUUCGGAAUAAGCUCGGGAAACUGGGUCUAAUACCGAAUGUGCCCUUCGGGGGAAAGAUUUAUCGCCUUUAGAGCGGCCCGCGUCUGAUUAGCUAGUUGGUGGUGUAAUGGACCACCAAGGCGACGAUCAGUAGCUGGUCUGAGAGGAUGACCAGCCACAUUGGGACUGAGACACGGCCCAAACUCCUACGGGAGGCAGCAGUGGGGAAUCUUGCGCAAUGGGCGAAAGCCUGACGCAGCCAUGCCGCGUGUAUGAUGAAGGUCUUAGGAUUGUAAAAUACUUUCACCGGUGAAGAUAAUGACUUA